RNAcentral lists this transfer RNA (77 nucleotides) under Nitratireductor sp. Its description in RNAcentral is "tRNA-Ile". It matches the Rfam family "tRNA". Rfam says of the family: Transfer RNA (tRNA) molecules are approximately 80 nucleotides in length. Their secondary structure includes four short double-helical elements and three loops (D, anti-codon, and T loops). RNAcentral also lists the same sequence under 7 other names. Lineage: Bacteria; Pseudomonadati; Pseudomonadota; Alphaproteobacteria; Hyphomicrobiales; Phyllobacteriaceae. The record is from RNAcentral.
GGGCCUGUAGCUCAGUUGGUUAGAGCCGACCGCUCAUAACGGUCUGGUCGGGGGUUCGAGUCCCUCCGGGCCCACCA